GUGGCUAUAGCUCAGUUGGUAGAGCCCCGGAUUGUGAUUCCGGUCGUCGAGGGUUCGAGUCCCUUUAGCCACCCCA
This 76-nucleotide transfer RNA is filed under the name Gammaproteobacteria bacterium. Its description in RNAcentral is "tRNA-His". It matches the Rfam family "tRNA". From Rfam's summary of the family: Transfer RNA (tRNA) molecules are approximately 80 nucleotides in length. Their secondary structure includes four short double-helical elements and three loops (D, anti-codon, and T loops). RNAcentral also lists the same sequence under 1 other name. The record is from RNAcentral. Lineage: Bacteria; Pseudomonadati; Pseudomonadota; Gammaproteobacteria.